AUAGCAACUCAACUACAAGAUCAUUUUAUUAACAUUACCACGGACUCCUUCUACUAAUUAACUCUAAUCAACAACAAUGCUUAGAUAAGUCUACCAAACCACAUCUAUAAAAAAGAAAACAUUAUUCAUAUAGUAUGCGUAGUUAAGUUACAGUUUAGCACUGACUCAAAAACAAUUACAAUUUAAGCACUCAUAAGGUUAAGAGAUUG
RNAcentral lists this long non-coding RNA (209 nucleotides) under Capsicum annuum. RNAcentral's name for it is "long non-coding RNA (CANN_LNC001282)". The record is from RNAcentral. Lineage: Eukaryota; Viridiplantae; Streptophyta; Magnoliopsida; Solanales; Solanaceae.